UGCUUGUGUAGGACAGCAAAAAGGUUGAAGACACUGAAACCUUUGGAACUGUUGUGUUUAUGACAGCAUCAAAGCAGAGAAUCACAAAUUUGACUCACGGCUGCAGCAGCUCAGCCUGUAUUCAGAGACUCCCAUGGUACCAGGCUUUCUGAGGCAGGAAACAUCUACCCUUACCAAGCAAGUCACAUCAGCAUCAAAAGCCUGGUGAUGCCAGGCCAGAGCGUAUCACUCAGUGCACCUGAAGCACAAAGCCUGUCCACAGAGAGACUGGUCACAAGGUGAUCACAGCUGGCCAUAGGCUUCUGCUUCAUCUCCUAGGACAUCUGUGCCAAGCCAUGCCAGCUGAUGUUACAGACUCUCUCAAAAAAGACAUGCAGGCAACAAAUACAAAUUCAUAAGGAAAAGGCAGAAGAAGCCAGAAUGCUGCAAUUCAAAGGAAGGGAAGACAUGGGGAGAAAGGACACAGAAGCACAGACUGUCACUGGAAUGAUGAUGGGAGCACAUAACUGACCGUGCCUGUCAAAUCAGGAUCACAUCAAGCUGCAGUAAAAAACGGGAUACCUGAAAUUGAAUCUGAAAUCAGCAUCACUGCAUCACUGCCAAGCUAACAUUACCCAGGAUUAAGCUGUGAGCAGCUGGAGACCAGGCAGCCUUUUAGGUGAGAUGGGAGACGCAACCUGAGGGGUGUGUGAGCUGAGCAAAGAGCACUGGUUACCUGGGGGAAUGUCCCAGAUGUCUGUCUUUAUUACUCUAAAACCUCUACUGACACAGAAAUGAGUAGCUUCUGGAAAUCACAGGAAGAGCAGAAUAAGAGAGUGGGUGAGAAGCCAACAUGUGUCACAGCAUAUAAAUAAAUAGAAACAAACUUAUGUGAUUAAUGAAUCAAAACAAUGUACAGUGUUAUCUAAAUUUUAAAAAACCAGAAGUAAUAACCUGGUACUUCCAAAAACCACUAAAAAUUACAGCUUUGUCUCUUGGCGAAAAAAUAAAAAUACAAAACAACCACACCUUCCCUUUCUGAUAAGCCUAGGGUGCUGAAGGACUCAGAUGAAAUUUUAUGGAUUUGUCAUCCUAAGAAAGGUAACUUCACCAUGGACAGACAACAGGGAGAGCAACAUUUCCUGGCUGAAACAAGGCUGGGAAGUAGCAUGCUGCUGAAGCUAAGGAUUUUUGAUAGAAAGUAAAGAAAAAAAAAAUGUAAUAAAAGGAGGGCCAGAGGGGAGGGCAGGGAGAACCACAGAUCAAAAAGCAAAUUAGCAGAAUAAAUGUAAAUAUUAACAUAACAAUGCCAAUCUAAAUGAGACGCAGAGCAAAUGACCUCUCUGAUUAAUAACAACAUCUUCAGUUUCUCAGAACAGACGCUGAAUUAAAAGAAAAAUCAUAUUCUUAGUCACCCUCUGAAAACCACAAACUGACAUCAGUUUUCAAAUCCAAUUAGCCAUAAGUUUGUUACUUAUGGACAGAUAGCUCUGCCUUGCCAACUUCACAUUUCCAGCCAUGGCUCAGGGUACUAUGCGUGAAUCCAAAAGAAGCACAUCUUCCUUUCUGGUCAUCUUCUGUGGCACAGUUCAGUAACAACCCCUCUCCCCUCACACCUGGCAGCCCUGCCAAGCCAUGCCCUACUUUGGCCCUUCCCAUGUGUUUUAUCAUGCCUCUCCCUUUUUCCUUCUACAGCUGUUUGCAGCCCCUUCCUGUGCACCCCCAGCCAUCCCACAAUGAACACCCACGUUGCCCAGCCCAAGCUGCAGGCUUGGGAUCACUCACCUCCCAGCCUACAACCCACUGGCACUAAGGAUGUGUGGCACUGUCCCACUCACUCUGAUGAUCACUGCUCUUUCCCUUAGAAAAUGACACAGAGAAGAAAGGGUAAAGAGAAAACAAAAUUCCAGUGGGAUUAUUGCCAAGGCCUCCAAGCCCUCCAAGAUGCAUUCCACACAGCCUUCAAGAAAGCCUGUUCUCUGUAGAACAGCUCUGUGACACGAAACACAGACAUCAAAAGAAGAAUUGCUGUGGUACAGACUGGUUCAGCUCACAGCCAUCACAGCCACAGACAGGAGUAAACAGUUUCCUAAUGUUAUUAAUUUUGGUAUUAGCAUGUAAAUUUUUACUCUCAUUAUCCCCAAUAAUUUGCAAUCAGACUCCAUUUGCAAAUCCCUAAUCAAGUAAGCUCUUGACUCCUUCCUAACCACCCAUCGGGAUACAAGUAAUGUGUACUUCAGUAAAGGACAGCUGCACGUGCCUAUGACAUGGAUAGAAAUCCAUCACUGGAUUCCAAGAUGAUCCCUAGCACCUGUUUAUCCAAUUCACUUCUCUCCUGUAAAAUCCCUCUCUUCCUCCUACUAGCUGUUUCCCUUCACUCAUUGCCCACAAAGAUGAUCCACAGCCCAGCCAGACUGCUGCUUUUCCUUGCCAGUCACCCAGCAGAGCCCACCUCCCACCUCACCUCCCCGUUCCCUUUCACAAGUGAAAGCACAGAAAGAGAGCAGCCAACAAGCCGCUCUUUAGACCAUAAGCCUGACCAAAGCUGACACACACUGAUUUCUUCCACAGCAAAUCUGUGUACUCACCACAACCUAAUGCACAGUUAUAUCCUUCCU
Meleagris gallopavo (turkey) is the source of this 2597-nucleotide non-coding RNA. NCBI's taxonomy places the organism in Eukaryota, Metazoa, Chordata, Aves, Galliformes, Phasianidae. The record is from RefSeq and is a predicted model, not a curated record.